UACGUAGGGGCAAGCGUUGUCCGGAAUCAUUGGGCGUAAAGAGCGUGUAGGCGGCUCGAUAAGUCUGCUGUGAAAGUCCAGGGCUCAACCCUGGAAGGCCGGUGGAAACUGUCGGGCUAGAGUCCGGAAGAGGCGAGUGGAAUUCCCGGUGUAGCGGUGAAAUGCGCAGAUAUCGGGAGGAACACCAAUGGCGAAGGCAGCUCGCUGGGACGGUACUGACGCUGAGACGCGAAAGCGUGGGGAGCAAACAGGG
Molecule: ribosomal RNA, 253 nt
Filed under: uncultured bacterium
Lineage: Bacteria
Description: partial 16S ribosomal RNA
Rfam family: Bacterial small subunit ribosomal RNA
Source: RNAcentral